Molecule: long non-coding RNA, 2164 nt
Organism: Phasianus colchicus (ring-necked pheasant)
Lineage: Eukaryota; Metazoa; Chordata; Aves; Galliformes; Phasianidae
Source: Ensembl
GUCAAUGGGGUCAUUGGGGGAAAUUGGGUCAAUGGGGUCAAAGGGGGAAUGGGGUCAAUGGGGGUAAUGGGGUCAAUGGGGGAAACGGGGGCAAUGGGGAAAUGGGGGGUAAUGGGGACAUUGGAGUUUCUAUGGGGACUUUGGGGUCCCUGUGGGGACAUUGGGGUCUCUAUGGGACAUUGGGGUCUCUAUGGGGACAAUGGGGUCCCUGUGGGGACUUUGGGGUCUCUAUGGGGACUUUGGGGUCCCUGUGGGGACAAUGGGGUCUCUAUGGGACAUUGGGGUCUCUAUGGGGACACUGGGGUCCCUGUGGGGACUUUGGAGUCUCUAUGUAGCAUUGGGAUCUCUAUAGGGUCAAUGGGGUCUCUAUGGGGACUUUGGGGUCUCUAUGGGAUCAAUGGGGUUUCUAUGGGGAUAUUGGGGUCUCUAUGGGUCGUUGGGGUCUCUAUGUAGCACUGGGAUCUCUAUAGGGUCAAUGGGGUCUCUAUAGGGUCAGUGGGGUCUCUAUGGGGACAGUGGGGUCUCUAUGGGGACUUUGGGGUCUCUAUGGGGACACUGGGGUCCCUGUGGGGACUUUGGAGUCUCAAUGGGGACAUUGGGGUCUCUAUGGGUCGUUGGGGUCUCUAUGUAGCAUUGGGAUCUCUAUAGGGUCAGUGGGGUCUCUGUAGGGUCAAUGGGGUCUCUAUGGGGACAUUAGGGUCCCUGUGGGGACAAUGGGGUCUCUAUGGGACAUUGGGGUCUCUGUGGGGACUUUGGGGUCUCUAUGGGGACAAUGGGGUCUCUAUGGGUCGUUGGGGUCUCUAUGUAGCACUGGGAUCUCUAUAGGGUCAAUGGGGUCUCUAUGGGACUUUGGGGUCUUUAUGGGAUCAAUGGGGUCUCUAUGGGACUUUGGGGUCUCUAUGGGGACAUUGGGGUCUCUAUGGGGACAAUGGGGUCCCUGUGGGGACUUCGGGGUCUCUAUGGGGACUUUGGGAUCUCUAUGGGGACAGUGGGGUCUCUAUGGGACAUUCGGGUCUCUAUGGGGACACUGGGGUCCCUGUGGGUCGUUGGGGUCUCUAUGUAGCAUUGGGAUCUCUAUAGGGUCAACGGGGUCUCUAUGGGACUUUGGGGUCUCUAUGGGGACAUUGGGGUCUCUAUGGGUCAUUGGGGUUUCUAUGGGAUCAAUGGGGUUUCUAUGGGGACUUUGGGAUCUCUAUGGGGACAGUGGGGUCCCUGUGGGGACUUUGGGGUCUCUAUGGGGACAUUGGGGUCCCUGUGGGGACAAUGGGGUCUCUAUGGGACAUUGGGGUCUCUAUGGGGACAAUGGGGUCCCUGUGGGGACUUUGGGGUCUCUAUGGGGACAUUGGGGUCCCUGUGGGGACUUUGGGGUCUCUAUGGGAUCAAUGGGGUUUCUGUGGGGACUUUGGGGUCUCUAUGGGGACAUUGGGGUCUCUAUGGGACUUUGGGGUCUCUAUGGGGACAUUGGGGUCUCUAUGGGGAUUUUGGGGUCUCUAUGUGGCAUUGGGAUCUCUAUAGGGUCAAUGGGGUCUCUAUAGGGUCAGUGGGGUCUCUAUGGGACUUUGGGGUCUUUAUGGGAUCAAUGGGGUCUCUAUGGGACUUUGGGGUCUCUAUGAGGUCAAUGGGGUCCCUAUGGCAAUUUUGGGGUCCCUGUAUGGGGCCGUUGUGACCCCCACCCAUGAGUGCGGUUGUCCCCCCUGUAGGGGGCGCUGCAGAGCUCGGUGGGGACGCAGCGGUGCCCCCCAAAGGUGUUGACGCAGCGCUGCUCCGCCCCACAGCUGUGGGUCCCUUCCUGGCACUCAUCCACGUCUGGGGGGGGGGGAAUGGGGGGAGAUGGGGGGCAUUGGGAUCCUUUCGGUGGCCCCAUAGCGCCCCACAGCUCCCCGCUGCCCCCCGUCGUCCUGUACCCCCCCCAUACCCUAUAAAAGCCCCCCCAUUCCCCAUUACACCCUAUAGACCCGCAGUGACCCCAUAACCCCAUAUGACCCCAUAACAUGACCCCGUAUGACCCCACAACCACCCAUGACCCCAUAACAUGACCCCAUGUCCCCGUAUGACCCCACGACCACCCAUGACCCCAUAACAUGACCCCAUAAGACCCCACAACCACCCACAACCCCAUAACAUGACCCCGUAUGAGCCCACGACCACCCAUGACCCCAUAACA